CGCGGGGUGGAGCAGUCUGGUAGCUCGUCGGGCUCAUAACCCGAAGGUCGUUGGUUCAAAUCCAACCCCCGCUACCA
Molecule: transfer RNA, 77 nt
Filed under: bacterium
Lineage: Bacteria
Also listed under: 3 other names
Description: tRNA-Met
Rfam family: tRNA
About the family: Transfer RNA (tRNA) molecules are approximately 80 nucleotides in length. Their secondary structure includes four short double-helical elements and three loops (D, anti-codon, and T loops). Further hydrogen bonds mediate the characteristic L-shaped molecular structure. tRNAs have two regions of fundamental functional importance: the anti-codon, which is responsible for specific mRNA codon recognition, and the 3' end, to which the tRNAs corresponding amino acid is attached (by aminoacyl-tRNA synthetases). tRNAs cope with the degeneracy of the genetic code in two manners: having more than one tRNA (with a specific anti-codon) for a particular amino acid; and 'wobble' base-pairing, i.e. permitting non-standard base-pairing at the 3rd anti-codon position.
Source: RNAcentral